UUUCCCCAUCGCUGCAGCACUUCCUGGGUAGUGAGGCAGGCCCGCGAUGGGAGCUGGAGGAAGGUGUUAAAUCUGCAGUGAGGAAGUUACUGGAAAAGUAACUCAUGUUAGAAAAAAAGUUGUUGAAAAGGCAGAAUGGCUUGGGUCAAAGGACUAUUAGAAGGCUCAUUGCCAAGAAGAUUCUGAUUUAGGAUUGUUUUGAAGCUGAGGCAGAAGGACACUCUCCAGGCAUUAUUUCACAGAACUCCUACUCUGGGCGAACUAGCAGAGGGUGACUGACCAGAGGACUCAGCAUUCGAAAAGAGUGACAUCAGCAUCCUGGUGGCAUAAAUCAUUUCCUUUUCCUCUCCUUUUUAAAACAAGUAAUUAGACAUCCAUAGCCAAACCAAACUGCCUCUGCACAUCACACCAAGGGAUCCUGGAGGUUUCCAGUGCACCUAUGCAUCCAAAAAUAAACAGAACCUCAGAAAGGGCUGCAGAUCCAAAGAAGCUGUCAGAUCUGCCCUACUCCUGCUCAUCAGGCAGUUGGGGAAAAAAGAAUGUAACCUAAAAAGGAAUCCCCUUUAGGCUAUCGGUGGAUUUCUUAGCAGAAAUUCUAGGUCAGGGGAGAGUGGGAUGACGUAUUGAAAAUGAACAUUUAUAGCCAAGAAUACUUUAUCUGGUAAAGUUAUCCUUCAGCUAUGAAGGAAAAAUAAAGGCUUUCCCAGGCAAAAGCUGAGGGAGUUCACCAGCACUAGACCUGCCUUGCAAGAAAUUCUGAAAGAAGUUCUUGAAGCUGAAAAAAAUAUACUAAUUAAUGACAUGGAAACAUAUGAAAGUACACAACACUCUGGUAAAGGUGAACGAUAGAUAGAAUUAGAAAACUUAUUCUAUCUGAAAAUGGUGUCUUAAGUUAACUAUAGCAUAAAGGUUAAAGAAAAAAGUGUUAACUACAGCUACUAUAAUUGUUAACAAAUAUACAGCAUAAAAAGAGGUAAAUUUUGACAUCAGAAGUAUAAAUGGGGAGGAGUAAAAGGGUGGAGACUUUAUAGGCAAAUGAAGAUAAGUUGCUAUCAGCAUAAAAUGGGCUGUUAUCUAUGUUUUAUAUAAUCCUCAUGGUAACCAAAAGCAAAAAUUAAAGAACAGAUUCACAAAACACAGAAAACAAGGGAGGCAGAGCAUACCACCGUAGAAAACCACCAAUGUACAAAUGUAGGCAGAAGGAGAUGGGAAAAGAAGCAAGAGAGAUAUGAAACAACCAGAAGAUAAAUAAGGUGGCAGUAGUAAGUCCUUACAUAUUAAAAUCACUCUAAAUGUAAAUGGACUGAAUUCAACCAAAAGGCACAGACUGACUAGACGGAUGAGAAAGAAGGGAGAAACAGACAAUAAUACAAUACUAGUAGGGGACUUCUGUAGUCCACUGUCAGCAAUGGGUAGAUCAUCCAGACAGAAAAUUAACAAGAAAACAUUGGAAUUGAACCACACUUUAGACAUAGCAGAUGUAUAUAGAAUAUUCCAUCAACAGCAUCAAAAUACAUCGUUUUCAAUUGUGCAUGGAACAUUCUCCGAGUUGAUCAUGAUAGGACAGGACAUAAAACAAAUCUUAGCAAUAAGAAGAUUUAAAUUACACCAACUAUCUUUUCUGACCACAAUGGUUUGAAGCUAUAAAUCAACAAGAGGAAAGCUGGAAAAUCUGCAAAAUAUGUGGAAAGUAAACAACACCUUUCUGAACAAACUAAUCAAAGAAGAAACCAAAAGGGAAAUAAACUGUCUCCAAACAAAUGAAAAUGGAAACACACACUGAAUCAUAGAGGAUGCUGCAAAAUCAGCUCUGAAAGUUUAUAGAGAUAGUUAACAAAUAUUAAGCAAUUAGAUUAAAAUAAACAACCUAAUUUUACACCUCAAGGAAUUAGAAAAAGAACAAAGUAAGCUCAAAGUUAACAGAAAGAAGGAAAUAAUAAAGACCAGAAGUACAAUAGAAAGGAUCAACAAAACUAAGAGCUGGUUUUUCAAAAAACAAAAUUGACAAACAUUUAGCUAGACUAAAUAAGAAAAACAGAAGACUCAAGUAAAUUGAAUUAGAAAUGAAAGAGAAGACAUUACGACUGAUACUGUAACAACACAUAGGAUAAGAGACUGUGACAUAUAGCAUAAGAGACUGAACGAUUACAUGGCAACAAAUUAGAUAACCUCAAAGAAAUGGAUAAAUUCCUAGAAACACAAAACCUACCAAGACUGAAUCAGGAAGAAACAAACAAUUUUAACAGACCAAUAACAAGUAAAGAGAUUGAAAGAGUGAUUACAAACCCCCAACACAGAAAACCCGGAAGGAUGGCUUCACUGAUUAAUUCUACUGAACAUUUAACGAAGAAUUCAUACCAGUUCUUCUCAAACUCUGCCAAAUAAUUGAAGAGAAAGAAGUAAUUCCAAACACAUUCUACCAGGCCAGCAUUAUCCUGAUACCAAAGCCAGAUGAAAACAAUACAGGAAAAGAAAAUACAGACCAAUAUGCCUGAUGAAUAUAGAUGCAAAAAAAAUGUUAGUAAACCAAAUUUAAGAGCACAUUAAAAGGAUUAUACACCUGACUAAGUGGGAUUUAUCCCUGGGAUGCAAGGCUGGUUUAACAUAUGCAGAUCAGUAAAUAUAAUACAUCACAUUGGUAGAAUGAAAGGUAAAAAUUACAUGAUUGUCACAAUAGAUGAAGAAAAAGCAUUUGACGGAAUAUAACAUCCUUUCAUGAUAAAAACCUUUACAAGGUCUAUGGGAUGCAGCAAAACAGUUCUAAGAGGGAAGUUCAUAGUGAUACAGGCCUUUCUCAAGAAACAAGAAAGAUCUCAAAUAAAUUCGGCCUAACCUACCACCUACAAGAAUUAGAAAAAAAAAGAACAAAGUCAGCAGAAGGAAAGAAAAGAUUGGGGGAAAUAAAUAAAAUAGAGGACAAAAAAAACAAUAGAAAAUAUCAAUAAAACCAAAAGCUGGUUUUUUUUUUUUUUUAAGAUAAGUAAAAUUGACAAAUUUCUAGCCAGGCUCACCAACAAGAGAGAACCCAAAUAAGAUAAUAAAUGGAAGAGGAGAAAGAACAACCAAUACAACAGAAAUAUUAAAAAUCAUCAUACUAUAAACAGUUAUAUACCAACAAAUUGGACAACCUAGAAAACGUAGAUAAGUUUCUAGAAACAUACAGCCUGCCAAAAGUGAGUCAAGAAGAAGCAGAAUUUGAACAGACCGAUCACUAUAAGUGAAAUAGAAUCUGUAAUUAAAACAAAACAAAACUCCAUGGAAACAAAAGUGCAGGACUGAAUGGCUUCACUGGGGAAUUUUACCAAAUAUACAAAGAAGAGCUUAUACGUAUCUUCCUCAGACUAUGCCAAAAGAUUGAAGAAGAGGGAACACUCCCAAAGUCUUCUAUGAAGCCACUAUCACCCUGAUACUAAAACCAGACAAACUACAAAAAAAAUUAAAGGCCAGUAUCUUUGCUAAUAAUUUUGUUAAGGGUUUUUGCAUCUAUAUAUUCAUCAAACAGAAUGCAACAAUACAUAAAAAGGAUUAUACACCAUGAACAAACUGGAUUUAUUCCAGGGUCACAAGGAUGGUUUAACAUACAGAAAAAUCAAUGUGAGGGGGUGGGAAGGGAUAAGUCUGGAAGUCUGAGAUUUGCAAGUGUUAGCCACUAUAUAUAAAAAUAGAUUUUAAAAACCAA
Camelus dromedarius (Arabian camel) is the source of this 3679-nucleotide long non-coding RNA. RefSeq lists it as uncharacterized. Lineage: Eukaryota; Metazoa; Chordata; Mammalia; Artiodactyla; Camelidae. The record is from RefSeq and is a predicted model, not a curated record. The transcript is spliced from 3 exons.